This 122-nucleotide ribosomal RNA is filed under the name Oryctolagus cuniculus (rabbit). Lineage: Eukaryota; Metazoa; Chordata; Mammalia; Lagomorpha; Leporidae. The record is from RNAcentral.
GUCUAUGGCCAUACCACCCUGAACAUGCCUGAUCUCGUCUGAUCUUGGAAGCUAAGCAGGGUCAGGCCUGGUUGGUACUUGUUUGGGAGAGAACAUUCUUUGGGGAAUAUGAGGAAUAGGUU